AAGAACCUUACCUACCCUUGACAUGUCCGGAACUUGCCAGAGAUGGCGUUGGUGCCGAAGGAUCGGAACACAGGUGCUGCAUGGCUGUCGUCAGCUCGUGUCGUGAGAUGUUGGGUUAAGUCCCGCAACGAGCGCAACCCUUAUCAUUAGUUGCUACGCAAGGGCACUCUAAUGAGACUGCCGGUGACAAACCGGAGGAAGGUGGGGAUGACGUCAAGUCCUCAUGGCCCUUAUGGGUAGGGCUUCACACGUCAUACAAUGGUCGGUACAGAGGGUUGCCAAGCCGCGAGGCGGAGCCAAUCCCACAAAGCCGGUCGUAGUCCGGAUCGCAGUCUGCAACUCGACUGCGUGAAGUCGGAAUCGCUAGUAAUCGUGGAUCAGAAUGUCACGGUGAAUACGUUCCCGGGUCUU
Molecule: ribosomal RNA, 411 nt
Filed under: uncultured Limnobacter sp.
Lineage: Bacteria; Pseudomonadati; Pseudomonadota; Betaproteobacteria; Burkholderiales; Burkholderiaceae
Description: bacterial SSU rRNA
Rfam family: Bacterial small subunit ribosomal RNA
Source: RNAcentral